AAGAAUGAAGUUUGGCAAAAGGAUGCAAUUUCUAUAGAUGGAGAUAGAAUUAAAACAAUGGAGAGCACAAAUCUCGCAUGCAUACAGGCCAAAGAUCGGACAACUGGAAGGAUUGAGAUUGCAUCUUGUGUUAGGGUUGCUGAGGUGGCUCAAAUAAGAAUAACAAGCAAGGAGUUUCCGUUUCAUGUAACUCAUGUUGCUAUCGGCGCUGAACUUGAUCUUCCCAUAAGCUAUUUCGAUGCUUUAGGAAAUCCCUUCUUUGAAGCACCACACAAUGUUGUUUCCUAUCAUGCCGAGACUAACUAUCAUGAUAUUGUCUCCAUAGAUGAUACAAAAAAUGGUAGUGGGGG
RNAcentral lists this unclassified non-coding RNA (350 nucleotides) under Hevea brasiliensis (rubber tree). Lineage: Eukaryota; Viridiplantae; Streptophyta; Magnoliopsida; Malpighiales; Euphorbiaceae. The record is from RNAcentral.